UAGGGAAUCUUCCGCAAUGGACGAAAGUCUGACGGAGCAACGCCGCGUGAGUGAAGAAGGUUUUCGGAUCGUAAAACUCUGUUGUUAGGGAAGAACAAGUACCGUUCGAAUAGGGCGGUACCUUGACGGUACCUAACCAGAAAGCCACGGCUAACUACGUG
Molecule: ribosomal RNA, 161 nt
Filed under: bacterium 061217
Lineage: Bacteria
Description: partial 16S rRNA
Rfam family: Bacterial small subunit ribosomal RNA
Source: RNAcentral